GGCUGUAGCUCAGUGCUAGAGCACUUGCCUAGCAUGAACAAGGCCCUGGGUUCCAUCCCCAGCACCA
RNAcentral lists this transfer RNA (67 nucleotides) under Marmota monax (woodchuck). RNAcentral describes it as "tRNA.Ala". Lineage: Eukaryota; Metazoa; Chordata; Mammalia; Rodentia; Sciuridae. The record is from RNAcentral.